GAUGAACGCUGGCGGCGUGCCUAAUACAUGCAAGUCGAGCGAACAGACGAGGAGCUUGCUCCUCUGACGUUAGCGGCGGACGGGUGAGUAACACGUGGAUAACCUACCUAUAAGACUGGGAUAACUUCGGGAAACCGGAGCUAAUACCGGAUAAUAUCUUGAACCGCAUGGUUCAAUAGUGAAAGACGGUUUUGCUGUCACUUAUAGAUGGAUCCGCGCCGCAUUAGCUAGUUGGUAAGGUAACGGCUUACCAAGGCAACGAUGCGUAGCCGACCUGAGAGGGUGAUCGGCCGCACUGGAAGUGGGACACGGUCCAGGCGCCUACGAGAGGCAGCAGAAGGGAAUCGGCCGCAAUGGGCGAAAGCCUGACGGAGCAACGCGGCGUGAGUGAUGAAGGUCUUCGGAGCGUGAAACUCUGUUAUGAGGGAAGAACAAAUGUGUAAGGAACUAUGCACGGCUUGACGGUACCUAAUCAGAAAGCCACGGCUAACUACGUG
Molecule: ribosomal RNA, 497 nt
Filed under: uncultured bacterium
Lineage: Bacteria
Description: partial 16S ribosomal RNA
Rfam family: Bacterial small subunit ribosomal RNA
Source: RNAcentral